This 254-nucleotide ribosomal RNA is filed under the name uncultured bacterium. Its description in RNAcentral is "partial 16S ribosomal RNA". It matches the Rfam family "Bacterial small subunit ribosomal RNA", at positions 524 to 776 of the family's 1533-position model. The record is from RNAcentral.
GACGAACCGUGCGAACGUUAUUCGGAAUCACUGGGCUUAAAGCGCGUGUAGGCGGAUGGGCACGUCGGCCUCUGAAAUCCCCCGGCUCAACCGGGGAAGUGGAGCCGAAACGACCCGUCUGGAGGGACGUAGGGGGACCUGGAACUUCCGGUGGAGCGGUGAAAUGCGUUGAGAUCGGAAGGAACGCCCGUGGCGAAAGCGAGGUCCUGGACGUCUGCUGACGCUGAGACGCGAAAGCCAGGGGAGCGAACGGG